UGCCAGCCGCCGCGGUAAUACGAAGGUCCCAAGCGUUGUUCGGAAUCACUGGGCGUAAAGCGUGUGUAGGCUGCGCGGAAAGUCAAAUGUGAAAGCCCGGGGCUCAACCUCGGAACUGCAUUCGAUACUCCCGUGCUAGAGUAAUGGAGAGGUAAGUGGAAUUCCUGGUGUAGCAGUGAAAUGCGUGGAUAUCAGGAGGAACAUCAAUGGCGAAGGCAGCUUACUGGGCCGCUAUCGACGCUGAGGAGCGAAAGCUAGGGGAGCAAACAGGACUAGAUA
This 279-nucleotide ribosomal RNA is filed under the name uncultured bacterium. RNAcentral describes it as "partial 16S ribosomal RNA". It matches the Rfam family "Bacterial small subunit ribosomal RNA", at positions 506 to 784 of the family's 1533-position model. The record is from RNAcentral.